UCUAGGUUUUUAGCCGUUGGAUCUACUAUUUCAUUACUAAUAACCUUUGGAUCAAACACUAUUUCACCUACCACCACCUACCACCAUCAUCUUCAUCCUACAUCUCUCCAUCCAAUGGCUAAAAACUCAAAAGUACCACUCUCUUGGUGCUUUUGAGAGUAUUCUAGUUCAACUCUCUCUCUCUCUCUCUAUAUAUAUAAUUCUGUUAUGAUACUUUUAAAAGUAUAAGUACUCGAUGAUUGUAAUUUUUUCAUUGUUAGAUGAUUAAAUCUAUUCAUUUGAUCAUUUUUAUUCAUUAGAUCAUACUAAUUAACCAACUACUCACUCAAUUUUAAAAGAUCACUAUUAUUCUAAUCGCACAUUCCUUAAUUUAAGGGUCGAAAACUUACAAACACCAAUAAUUUGUUACUUUUAAAAAUGUAAAAACUCAAUUAUAUAAUAAUAAUAAUAAUAAUAAUAAUAAGUUGUUAACUUGCUUUUUCCUGUAUUACUUUACCUAAAGUUAAUACCCAUAAAUGACUAAAUAAGAAUUGAGCUAAAAUACUUUUAGAAGCACCAAAAAAAUAGUGCUUUCAAGUUUUUAGCAAUUGGAUCUAGUCCUUGAUUAUUAAUAGUUUUUGAAUCAAAUACUAUUCCACCUACCACCACCCACCAUCAUCUCAAUUCUAUAUUUUUUUUUUCAAAAAUUAAAAACUAAAAAACACCAUUUUUUUUUGUGCGUUUGGAAGUAUUCUAACUCAACUCGACUAGAUAAUAUAGUCAAUAAUAGAUCAUGAAACAAUAAUACACACCAACUUACGUAAAUUGCUGUAAAUUAAAUUAGAGUCGUUUUGAUAAAUGGACAAAAUUAAUAUAUUCCUUGUAGAACAAGUGUAACUAGACACGGCCAUUUUUGCGUACGGGUCAGAUACACUCACCAACUCCAAAGCUUUCGUAGUAAAAGCCCCAGCUAUAAAUGGCAAAAAAGAUGUCCCUUUCCCUCUCCCUAUAAACCCCACCGUUUUGAUACAACUAUGCGAAGAUUCCACGAAGAGAGAGAGAGAGAAGAGAGAGAGAGAGAGAGAGAGAGAGGGGAGGUGAGUUUGUAGCAGGGAGAAAAAGCCAACCUCACCUCCACCUCGGGAACCAAAAUCAAUCCAACUCCAAUCUUUUUAGAUUUGUACCCUCACCCCCUCUCUCUCUCUCUCUCUCUCUCUCUCUCUCUCUCUUGUUUUGGUUCUGCAUGCAUGUGUUGCAGUGUGAAGUAUAUAUGUAUAGAAAGAUAUGGAAGGGGAGCAGCAGCUGUAGUGUCCUUUCCGUAGCUAUGCUAUGCUAUCAUGUUAGCUUUGGAGUCUUGUACAAAAAGAUGGAAGUGUAUGAGAGGGAGAAAAGAAUAUAUAAUUAAUGCAUGCACCAUGGUCUAUAUUUAUACUGGUGGAGAUUCAUGUAACUAUAUAUAGAGUGAGGCUACUACGCUAUCGGAAGCACGGAGCCUUCCGUGCUUCCAGCUCGUUUUCGAUGUUGCGACUUUCGAAUUGUCGAUCGGCUCCGUUAAACUUGAUCUAGAGUAUAUAUAUAUAUAUAUAUAUCCUCACUCCGAUGAUACGAUAGCCUUCGUGCCUCGGAAGGCACGAAGGUCGAGCAAAAGCUACAACGCUGAAAGCUUAGCAGCUAGCCGAGGCAAUUUGAACUAGAUCUCAUACACUUCAUAGAUCUUUUAUUUAAAAUACUAAAAUGCUAUAGUAAACGGAUCACUUGUUUCCCCGAGUUUUAGUUGCCGGCUUUUAUUUUUAGAAUGUUUUACAUUAUUAUACUGUAAUUUUAAAAUUUAGUUUCUAUAACUAGAACAAAAUAUAUCAUAUUUCUUAAAAGAUAGUUUUAAAGUGCACUAAACUUAUAAAAAGGUGGCAAUUUGAACGUUUGCCGAGUGAUGCCGGUAACUUUAAACAACUAAAACUCGGGUAAGCUAGUGAUCCGUUUACUAUAGUUUUUUAUUAUUUUAAAUAAAAGAUCCAUGAGGUUUANAAAAUAUAUAUAUAUAUAUAUAUAUAUAUAUAUAUAUAUAUAUAUAUAUAUAUAUAUAUAGUCCGGCUACGAUACUCUUAUGAGUACGAUCGUUCUGGUAUUCAUAAGUCGUUUUCGAUAAUAGAGCUUCUGAAUCGAUAAUUCAUACCGUUAAAUAUUAUUUAAAGCAUUUAAAAUUUUUAGAAAUCAAAAUUUUAUAAUUUUUUGACAUUAUUUAUCUUACAAUCAAAAGGUCACAAAAUUGACAGUUUUUAACGGCUGGUAUAAGAUACUUGGUAGUUUAACGGUGUAGAAGAAUCGGAAUCGGUUGAAUUUUUGAUAGAAAAUUCUAUUCACUACUUAGAAAAAGAUUAAUAACUCCGAUCUUAAAUUGAAUGAUUCGAUCAUCCAUAUUUAGGACAUCGUUCAAUUUCGACCGUUCAUUUUAUACCCACUUGAUGGACUUUAUUAUGAUUUCGAAAACUUACAAAAUUUAUUUUCUAGAAGUUUCAAAUACUCUAUAUCAUAUUUGAUGGAGUGGAUUGUCGAUUCGGAAGCUCCAUCAUCGAAAACAACUUAUGAGUAUGAAGGACUCUAUACUCAUAAGAGUAUAUUAGUCCUACUCUCUCCCUCUCUUUCUCUCUCUCUCUCUCUCUCUAUAUAUAUAUAUAUAAUUUAGCUAAAAUAUUUUUAAAAGCAUCUACCCCUUGGUGCUUCUAGGUUUUUAGCCGUUGGAUCUACUAUUUCAUUACUAAUAACCUUUGGAUCAAACACUAUUUCACCUACCACCACCUACCACCAUCAUCUUAACCCUACAUCUCUCCAUCCAAUGGCUAAAAACUCAAAAGUACCACUCUCUUGCUGCUUUUGAGAGUAUUCUAGUUCAACUCUCUGUCUUUAUAUAUAUAUAUAGUUCUGUUAUGAUACUUUUAAAAGUAUAAGUACUCGAUGAUUGUAAUAUUUUCAUUGUUAGAUGAUUAAAUCUAUUCAUUUGAUCAUUUUUAUUUAUUAGAUCAUACUAAUUAACCAACUACUCACUCAAUUUUAAAAUAUUAUUAUCAUUCUAAUCGCACAUUCCUUAAUUUAAGGGUCGAAAACUUACAAACGCCAAUAAUUUGCUACUUUUAAAAAUGUAAAAACUCAAUUAUAUAAUAAUAA
RNAcentral lists this long non-coding RNA (3141 nucleotides) under Ananas comosus (pineapple). RNAcentral's name for it is "long non-coding RNA (ACOM_LNC022872)". The record is from RNAcentral. Lineage: Eukaryota; Viridiplantae; Streptophyta; Magnoliopsida; Poales; Bromeliaceae.